RNAcentral lists this ribosomal RNA (431 nucleotides) under uncultured bacterium. RNAcentral's name for it is "partial 16S ribosomal RNA". It matches the Rfam family "Bacterial small subunit ribosomal RNA", at positions 29 to 507 of the family's 1533-position model. The record is from RNAcentral.
AACGAACGCUGGCGGCAGGCUUAACACAUGCAAGUCGAGCGCCCCGCAAGGGGAGCGGCAGACGGGUGAGUAACGCGUGGGAACGUACCUUUUGGUUCGGAACAACUCCGGGAAACUGGAGCUAAUACCGGAUAAGCCCUAACGGGGAAAGAUUUAUCGCCGAAAGAUCGGCCCGCGUCUGAUUAGCUAGUUGGUGAGGUAACGGCUCACCAAGGCGACGAUCAGUAGCUGGUCUGAGAGGAAGAUCAGCCACACUGGGACUGAGACACGGCCCAGACUCCUACGGGAGGCAGCAGUGGGGAAUAUUGGACAAUGGGCGCAAGCCUGAUCCAGCCAUGCCGCGUGAGUGAUGAAGGCCUUAGGGUUGUAAAGCUCUUUUGUCCGGGAAGAUAAUGACUGUACCGGAAGAAUAAGCCCCGGCUAACUUCGUG